GUAAGGAAUAUUGGACAAUGGACGCAAGUCUGAUCCAGCCAUGCCGCGUGAAGGAUUAAGGUCCUCUGGAUUGUAAACUUCUUUUAUAAGGGACGAAAAAAGGCUUUUCUAAGUCGUCUGACGGUACCUUAUGAAUAAGCACCGGCUAACUCCGUGCCAGCAGCCGCGGUAAUACGGAGGGUGCAAGCGUUAUCCGGAUUCACUGGGUUUAAAGGGUGCGUAGGCGGGCAGGUAAGUCAGUGGUGAAAUCCUAGAGCUUAACUCUAGAACUGCCAUUGAUACUAUAUGUCUUGAAUAUUGUGGAGGUAAGCGGAAUAUGUCAUGUAGCGGUGAAAUGCUUAGAUAUGACAUAGAACACCUAUUGCGAAGGCAGCUUACUACGCAUAUAUUGACGCUGAGGCACGAAAGCGUGGGGAUCAAACAGGAUUAGAUACCCGUGUAGUCC
Molecule: ribosomal RNA, 445 nt
Filed under: uncultured bacterium
Lineage: Bacteria
Description: partial 16S ribosomal RNA
Rfam family: Bacterial small subunit ribosomal RNA
Source: RNAcentral